GACGAACGCUGGCGGCGUGCUUAACACAUGCAAGUCGAACGGAAAGGCCCUGCUUUUGUGGUGUGCUCGAGUGGCGAACGGGUGAGUAACACGUGAGUAACCUGCCCUUGACUUUGGGAUAACUUCAGGAAACUGGGGCUAAUACCGGAUAGGAGCUCCUGCUGCGUGGUGGGGGUUGGAAAGUUUCGGCGGUUGGGGAUGGACUCGCGGCUUAUCAGCUUGUUGGUGGGGUAGUGGCUUACCAAGGCUUUGACGGGUCGCCGGCCUGAGAGGGUGACCGGCCACAUUGGGACUGAGAUACGGCCCAGACUCCUACGGGAGGCAGCAGUGGGGAAUAUGGUACAAUGGGCGGAAGCCUGAUGCAGCAACGCCGCGUGCGGGAUGACGGCCUUCGGGUUGUAAACCGCUGUCGCCUGUGACGAAGCGUGAGUGACGGUAAUGGGUAAAGAAGCACCGGCUAACUACGUG
RNAcentral lists this ribosomal RNA (468 nucleotides) under uncultured bacterium. RNAcentral describes it as "partial 16S ribosomal RNA". It matches the Rfam family "Bacterial small subunit ribosomal RNA", at positions 28 to 507 of the family's 1533-position model. The record is from RNAcentral.